This 374-nucleotide long non-coding RNA is filed under the name Struthio camelus australis. Its description in RNAcentral is "lncRNA (ENSSCUG00000015018.1)". Lineage: Eukaryota; Metazoa; Chordata; Aves; Struthioniformes; Struthionidae. The record is from RNAcentral.
CACAGUUCAGAUGGAUAGAAACCUUUUUUUCUCUCUCUUUUUUUUUUUUUAAAGGCCUGAUUUUUAAUUGUAGCCUGAUUUUUUUAAUUUACAGCCUGAUUUUUAACUGUAGCCAGAUGAUAGCAAUUUGUUCCUGUGGCAACACUAACCUAAACAGCUCUUCUCACUCCCAGCUACUCAUGUACCUGUUAGAAAUAGUCACCUCUCCUCUCUGCCUUGGCUUCGCAAGUGAAGGAGUGAGGCUGACUCAGGUCCUGCCUGCAUCAGCAGUUUGCUGUUGGGAAGACUUCUAUCAGCGUGAGCAGCGGGCACUGAGGAGAGGCAGUACACGCGUGAUCAGGAGUUGUGAAGCUCACGACUGGGGUAUGCACUGA